This is a long non-coding RNA of Pseudopipra pipra, 602 nucleotides long. RefSeq lists it as uncharacterized. The transcript has 3 exons. NCBI's taxonomy places the organism in Eukaryota, Metazoa, Chordata, Aves, Passeriformes, Pipridae. The record is from RefSeq and is a predicted model, not a curated record.
CCCUGGUGCUGGGGAGUGGAGGCGAGUUGUGCUUCCUGCUGGGAGAGAGAAGGGCCUUGGGAAGCAGCUCCAUGAGCCACAGCUGUGCCGAGCCCGGGAGUCUGUCCAGCAGGAUGUCGAGUGCCACCAUGUCCCUGAGGUUCCCCUUUCUGCUGUUGGGAGAGCACGAGGUGGAUGGAGAGGAUCCCCAGCCAUCUGCAGGCAAAAGGGACUCGCAGAACUGCGAUUUUUCUCCAGGUCUCUUAAGGUGGACUUUCAGGGUACCAUGGGAUGUGAAUGCAAGAACCUGCCAAGAAAACCAAUGUCCAAGAUGAUUGAUGAGUGCAGGACCUGAGAGAACCACCUUGAAUGACAACCUCGAGCAGUUUCCAAUAUUGGAUUGCAAAGAUGGCCUUUGCUGCAUCUCCUUGAGCAAGGAAAGCCAAGAAACCUUUGCUUUGGCAGGAGAAAAUCCAGAAAGCCGGAAGGAAGAAAAGAAGCCCCCUGACUCCUCCUGAGCCCCAGACAGCCCAUGAACUGCCUUCCUGGGAAUGAUAGGACGGGGUGGACUCUGGAUUGCUCCCUCUGGAUGUGUGGUAAGACUGUUCUGCCAACUUCUCCAA